This 253-nucleotide ribosomal RNA is filed under the name uncultured bacterium. RNAcentral describes it as "partial 16S ribosomal RNA". It matches the Rfam family "Bacterial small subunit ribosomal RNA", at positions 524 to 776 of the family's 1533-position model. The record is from RNAcentral.
GACGAACCGUGCGAACGUUGUUCGGAAUCACUGGGCUUAAAGGGUGCGUAGGCGGGUUGUCCAGUCUGGGGUGAAAUCCCACGGCUCAACCGUGGAACUGCCUCAGAUACUGACGACCUCGAGGGAGGUAGGGGCGAGCGGAACUGUGGGUGGAGCGGUGAAAUGCGUUGAUAUCCACAGGAACUCCGGUGGCGAAGGUGGCUCGCUGGACCUCUUAUGACGCUGAGGCACGAAAGCUAGGGGAGCAAACGGG